RNAcentral lists this ribosomal RNA (916 nucleotides) under uncultured bacterium. RNAcentral describes it as "bacterial SSU rRNA". It matches the Rfam family "Bacterial small subunit ribosomal RNA", at positions 246 to 1155 of the family's 1533-position model. The record is from RNAcentral.
UUGUUGGUGAGGUAAAAGCUUACCAAGGCUUCGAUCAGUAGCUGGUCUGAGAGGACGGCCAGCCACACUGGGACUGAGACACGGCCCAGACUCCUACGGGAGGCAGCAGUGGGGAAUUUUGGACAAUGGGGGCAACCCUGAUCCAGCCAUGCCGCGUGAGUGAAGAAGGCRUUCGGGUUGUAAAGCUCUUUCAGCCGGAACGAAACGGUUACGGUUAAUACCCGUGACUACUGACGGUACCGGAAGAAGAAGCACCGGCUAACUACGUGCCAGCAGCCGCGGUAAUACGUAGGGUGCAAGCGUUAAUCGGAAUUACUGGGCGUAAAGCGUGCGCAGGUGGUUUUGUAAGUCAGAUGUGAAAUCCCCGGGCUUAACCUGGGAACUGCGUUUGAAACUACAAGGCUAGAGUGUGGCAGAGGGGGGUGGAAUUCCGCGUGUAGCAGUGAAAUGCGUAGAUAUGUGGAGGAACACCGAUGGCGAAGGCAGCCCCCUGGGUCAACACUGACGCUCAGGCACGAAAGCAUGGGGAGCAAACAGGAUUAGAUACCCUGGUAGUCCAUGCCCUAAACGAUGUCAACUAGUUGUCGGGCCUUAACGGGCUUGGUAACGUAGCUAACGCGUGAAGUUGACCGCCUGGGGAGUACGAUCGCAAGAUUAAAACUCAAAGGAAUUGACGGGGACCCGCACAAGCGGUGGAUUAUGUGGAUUAAUUCGAUGCAACGCGAAGAACCUUACCUACCCUUGACAUGUAUCGAAGCCCGCAGAGAAGCGGGUGUGCCCGAAAGGGAACGAUAACACAGGUGCUGCAUGGCUGUCGUCGGCUCGUGUCGUGAGAUGUUGGGUUAAGUCCCGCAACGAGCGCAACCCUUGUCAUUAAUUGCCAUCAUUUAGUUGGGCACUUUAAUGAGACUGCCGG